RNAcentral lists this ribosomal RNA (787 nucleotides) under uncultured bacterium. Its description in RNAcentral is "bacterial SSU rRNA". It matches the Rfam family "Bacterial small subunit ribosomal RNA", at positions 75 to 867 of the family's 1533-position model. The record is from RNAcentral.
GGUUUUCGGACCUAGAGACCGGCGCACGGGUGCGUAACGCGUAUGCAAUCUACCUUUUACAGAGGGAUAGCCCAGAGAAAUUUGGAUUAAUACCUCAUAGUAUAAUGACUCGGCAUCGAGAUAUUAUUAAAGUCACAACGGUAAAAGAUGAGCAUGCGUCCCAUUAGCUUGUUGGUAAGGUAACGGCUUACCAAGGCAACGAUGGGUAGGGGUCCUGAGAGGGAGAUCCCCCACACUGGUACUGAGACACGGACCAGACUCCUACGGGAGGCAGCAGUGAGGAAUAUUGGUCAAUGGGCGCAAGCCUGAACCAGCCAUGCCGCGUGCAGGAUGAAGCAUCUAUGGUGUGUAAACUGCUUUUGUACGAGAAGAAACACUCCUUCGUGAAGGAGCUUGACGGUAUCGUAAGAAUAAGGACCGGCUAACUCCGUGCCAGCAGCCGCGGUAAUACGGAGGGUCCAAGCGUUAUCCGGAAUCAUUGGGUUUAAAGGGUCCGUAGGCGGUUUUGUAAGUCAGUGGUGAAAGCCCAUCGCUCAACGGUGGAACGGCCAUUGAUACUGCAAGACUUGAAUUAUUAGGAAGUAACUAGAAUAUGUAGUGUAGCGGUGAAAUGCUUAGAGAUUACAUGGAAUACCAAUUGCGAAGGCAGGUUACUACUAAUGGAUUGACGCUGAUGGACGAAAGCGUGGGGAGCGAACAGGAUUAGAUACCCUGGUAGUCCACGCCGUAAACGAUGGAUACUAGCUGUUCGGAGCAAUCUGAGUGGCUAAGCGAAAAUGAUAAGUAU